Molecule: unclassified non-coding RNA, 411 nt
Filed under: Melitaea cinxia (Glanville fritillary)
Lineage: Eukaryota; Metazoa; Arthropoda; Insecta; Lepidoptera; Nymphalidae
Description: misc RNA ENSMCXG00005000278.1
Source: RNAcentral
GUCGCGCGAGUAGCACAUACCGCCCCGCCCCGUGUAACGUACGACCGCGUAUACCUCCCGCCGUUUUAGCAUUAACAGUUUCGUUUAAAUUGGAAUUAAAUUAUCUGUCCAUAUGGUUCAUCUCGUAGAUAUAUUUCGUGCGCCGAAACUUGACUAUCCACCGCCUGUUAUUAUGAACCGAGCGAUACAGGUGAAACCAGCGGACAGCGAAAAUAGAGGAGGGGGUGCGGGAAGACGGCGCGCGUAGGCGGACAAAGGUAGCGUGUUUUGUGCGUGCCCUAGGCUGUUCUGUUCACUGUCUGUCAAUAGCGCGCGAAGUGAGAUAGUUCCACGUCGAAUCUACAGGAGGCUUGCUUAUUUUAUUUUGAUUCCCUAACUCGAUGUUUUGUUUUCAAGGCCAUUUCACCACUU